RNAcentral lists this non-coding RNA (27 nucleotides) under Cricetulus griseus (Chinese hamster). The record is from RNAcentral. Lineage: Eukaryota; Metazoa; Chordata; Mammalia; Rodentia; Cricetidae.
UAUCAUGAAGGAUAUGCCUGUACCAGU